UUAAGUGACUAAGCGUACAUGGUGGAUGCCUUGGCAGUCAGAGGCGAUGAAGGACGUACUAACCUGCGAUAAGCCGUGAGCAGUCGGUAAGAGACAUUACGACUCACGGAUUUCCGAAUGGGGAAACCCACUUAGCAUAAGCUAGGUAUCGCUACGUGAAUACAUAGCGUAGCGAGGCGAACCGGGAGAACUGAAACAUCUAAGUACCCCGAGGAAAAGAAAUCAACCGAGAUUCCCUCAGUAGCGGCGAGCGAACGGGGAUUAGCCCUUAAGCAUCUUGGAAGUUAGUGGAACGGUCCUGGAAAGGCCGGCGAUACAGGGUGAUAGCCCCGUACACGAAAACAACCUUGAUGUGAAAUCGAGUAGGGCGGGACACGUGACAUCCUGUCUGAAUAUGGGGGACCAUCCUCCAAGGCUAAAUACUCCUGACUGACCGAUAGUGAACCAGUACCGUGAGGGAAAGGCGAAAAGAACCCCUGUGAGGGGAGUGAAAUAGAACCUGAAACCGUGUACGUACAAGCAGUGGGAGCCCUUCGGGGUGACUGCGUACCUUUUGUAUAAUGGGUCAGCGACUUACAUUUUGUAGCGAGGUUAACCGUAUAGGGGAGCCGUAGGGAAACCGAGUCUUAACUGGGCGUCUAGUUGCAAGGUGUAGACCCGAAACCGGGUGAUCUAGCCAUGGGCAGGUUGAAGGUUGAGUAACAUCAACUGGAGGACCGAACCCACUAACGUUGCAAAGUUAGGGGAUGACCUGUGGCUGGGGGUGAAAGGCCAAUCAAACUCGGAGAUAGCUGGUUCUCCCCGAAAGCUAUUUAGGUAGCGCCUCGGACGAAUACUACUGGGGGUAGAGCACUGUUUGGGCUAGGGGGUCAUCCCGACUUACCAACCCCAUGCAAACUCCGAAUACCAGUAAGUAAUAUCCGGGAGACACACGGCGGGUGCUAACGUCCGUCGUGAAGAGGGAAACAACCCAGACCGCCGGCUAAGGUCCCAAAGUUCUGGUUAAGUGGGAAACGAUGUGGGAAGGCUCAGACAGCUAGGAUGUUGGCUUAGAAGCAGCCAUCAUUUAAAGAAAGCGUAAUAGCUCACUAGUCGAGUCGGCCUGCGCGGAAGAUGUAACGGGGCUCAAACCAGGCACCGAAGCCGCGGAUUCACGCUAAGCGUGAGUGGUAGGGGAGCGUUCUGUAAGUCUGCGAAGGUGUAUCGAGAGGUAUGCUGGAGAUAUCAGAAGUGCGAAUGCUGACGUAAGUAACGAUAAAGGGGGUGAAAAGCCUCCUCGCCGGAAGACCAAGGGUUCCUGUCCAACGUUAAUCGGGGCAGGGUGAGUCGACCCCUAAGGCGAGGCCGAAAGGCGUAGUCGAUGGGAAGCAGGUUAAUAUUCCUGCACGACUUGUAAUUGCGAUGGGGGACGGAGAAGGCUAGGUGGGCCAGGCGACGGUUGUCCUGGUGAAAGUGCGUAGGUGGUGUUUCUAGGCAAAUCCGGAGACACAACACUGAGACACGAGACGAACACACUACGGUGUGGAAGCCAUUGAUGCCCUGCUUCCAGGAAAAGCCUCUAAGCUUCAGAUUACAAGUCAUCGUACCCCAAACCGACACAGGUGGUCGGGUAGAGAAUACCAAGGCGCUUGAGAGAACUCGGGUGAAGGAACUAGGCAAAAUAGAACCGUAACUUCGGGAGAAGGUUCGCUCUUGACAGUGAAGUCCCUUGCGGAUGGAGCAGUUGGGAGUCGCAGUGACCAGAUGGCUGGGACUGUUUAUCAAAAACACAGCACUCUGCAAACACGAAAGUGGACGUAUAGGGUGUGACACCUGCCCGGUGCCGGAAGGUUAAUUGAUGGGGUUAGCGCAAGCGAAGCUCUUGAUCGAAGCCCCGGUAAACGGCGGCCGUAACUAUAACGGUCCUAAGGUAGCGAAAUUCCUUGUCGGGUAAGUUCCGACCUGCACGAAUGGUGUAACCAUGGCCAUGCUGUCUCCACCCGAGACUCAGUGAAAUCGAAUUCGCCGUGAAGAUGCGGUGUACCCGCGGCUAGACGGAAAGACCCCGUGAACCUUUACUACAGCUUGGCACUGAACAUUGAACCUACAUGUGUAGGAUAGGUGGGAGGCUUUGAAGGCGUGACGCCAGUUGCGCUGGAGCCGUCCUUGAAAUACCACCCUUGUAUGUUUGAUGUUCUAACGCAGGCCCGUGAAUCCGGGUCGCGGACAGUGCCUGGUGGGUAGUUUGACUGGGGCGGUCUCCUCCCAAAGAGUAACGGAGGAGCACGAAGGUUGGCUAAUCCUGGUCGGACAUCAGGAGGUUAGUGCAAUGGCAUAAGCCAGCUUAACUGCGAGACGGACAGGUCGAGCAGGUACGAAAGUAGGUCAUAGUGAUCCGGUGGUUCUGAAUGGAAGGGCCAUCGCUCAACGGAUAAAAGGUACUCCGGGGAUAACAGGCUGAUACCGCCCAAGAGUUCAUAUCGACGGCGGUGUUUGGCACCUCGAUGUCGGCUCAUCACAUCCUGGGGCUGAAGUCGGUCCCAAGGGUAUGGCUGUUCGCCAUUUAAAGUGGUACGCGAGCUGGGUUCAGAACGUCGUGAGACAGUUCGGUCCCUAUCUGCCGUGGGCGUUGGAUGAUUGAAGGGAGUUGCUCCUAGUACGAGAGGACCGGAGUGAACGAACCUCUGGUGUUCGGGUUGUCACGCCAGUGGCACUGCCCGGUAGCUAAGUUCGGAAUCGAUAACCGCUGAAAGCAUCUAAGCGGGAAGCGAGCCCUGAGAUGAGUCAUCCCUGACCCCUUGAGGGUCCUAAAGGGCCGUUGGAGACCACAACGUUGAUAGGUGGGGUGUGUAAGCGCGGCGACGUGUUGAGCUAACCCAUACUAAUUACCCGUGAGGCUUAACC
Molecule: ribosomal RNA, 2883 nt
Filed under: Aeromonas hydrophila
Lineage: Bacteria; Pseudomonadati; Pseudomonadota; Gammaproteobacteria; Aeromonadales; Aeromonadaceae
Description: 23S ribosomal RNA
Rfam family: Bacterial large subunit ribosomal RNA
Source: RNAcentral